GAUGAACGCUGGCGGCGUGCCUAAUACAUGCAAGUCGAGCGAACAGACGAGAAGCUUGCUUCUCUGAUGUUAGCGGCGGACGGGUGAGUAACACGUGGAUAACCUACCUAUAAGACUGGGAUAACUUCGGGAAACCGUAGCUAAUACCGGAUAAUAUUUUGAACCGCAUGGUUCAAUAGUGAAAGACGGUCUUGCUGUCACUUAUAGAUGGAUCCGCGCUGCAUUAGCUAGUUGGUAAGGUAACGGCUUACCAAGGCAACGAUGCAUAGCCGACCUGAGAGGGUGAUAGGCCACACUGGAACUGAGACACGGUCAAGACUCCUACGGGAGGCAGCAGUAGGGAAUCUUCCGCAAUGGGCGAAAGCCUGACGGAGCAACGCCGCGUGAGUGAUGAAGGUCUUCGGAUCGUAAAACUCUGUUAUUAGGGAAGAACAUAUGUGUAAGUAACUGUGCACAUCUUGACGGUACCUAAUCAGAAAGCCACGGCUAACUACGUG
RNAcentral lists this ribosomal RNA (497 nucleotides) under uncultured bacterium. Its description in RNAcentral is "partial 16S ribosomal RNA". It matches the Rfam family "Bacterial small subunit ribosomal RNA", at positions 28 to 507 of the family's 1533-position model. The record is from RNAcentral.